UGGGGGAUAUUGCACAAUGGGGGGAAACCCUGAUGCAGCGACGCCGCGUGGAGGAAGAAGGUUUUCGGAUUGUAAACUCCUGUCGUUAGGGACGAUAAUGACGGUACCUAACAAGAAAGCACCGGCUAACUACGUGCCAGCAGCCGCGGUAAAACGUAGGGUGCAAGCGUUGUCCGGAAUUACUGGGUGUAAAGGGAGCGCAGGCGGACCGGCAAGUUGGAAGUGAAAACUAUGGGCUCAACCCAUAAAUUGCUUUCAAAACUGCUGGCCUUGAGUAGUGCAGAGGUAGGUGGAAUUCCUAGUGUAGCGGUGAAAUGCGUAGAUAUUAGGAGGAACACCAGUGGCGAAGGCGGUCAACUGGACGAUAACUGACGCUGAGGCGCGAAAGCGUGGGGAGCAAACAGGAUUAGAUACCCUGGUAGU
RNAcentral lists this ribosomal RNA (423 nucleotides) under uncultured Gemmiger sp. Its description in RNAcentral is "bacterial SSU rRNA". It matches the Rfam family "Bacterial small subunit ribosomal RNA", at positions 355 to 794 of the family's 1533-position model. Lineage: Bacteria; Bacillati; Bacillota; Clostridia; Eubacteriales; Oscillospiraceae. The record is from RNAcentral.